This 24-nucleotide non-coding RNA is filed under the name Arabidopsis thaliana (thale cress). Lineage: Eukaryota; Viridiplantae; Streptophyta; Magnoliopsida; Brassicales; Brassicaceae. The record is from RNAcentral.
AGCUGUUAUAUAAACGAUUCUACU